GAUGAACGCUGCCAGAAUGCUUAACACAUGCAAGUCUACUUGAACUUCGGUUUGGGUGGCGGACGGGUGAGUAACGCGUAAAGAACUUGCCUCACAGUUAGGGACAACAUUUGGAAACGAAUGCUAAUACCUGAUAUUAUGAUUUUAGGGCAUCCUAAAAUUAUGAAAGCUAUAUGCGCUGUGAGAGAGCUUUGCGUCCCAUUAGCUAGUUGGAGAGGUAACGGCUCACCAAGGCGAUGAUGGGUAGCCGGCCUGAGAGGGUGAACGGCCACAAGGGGACUGAGACACGGCCCUUACUCCUACGGGAGGCAGCAGUGGGGAAUAUUGGACAAUGGACCAAAAGUCUGAUCCAGCAAUUCUGUGUGCACGAUGACGUUUUUCGGAAUGUAAAGUGCUUUCAGUUGGGAAGAAAAAAAUGACGGUACCAACAGAAGAAGUGACGGCUAAAUACGUG
RNAcentral lists this ribosomal RNA (454 nucleotides) under uncultured bacterium. RNAcentral describes it as "partial 16S ribosomal RNA". It matches the Rfam family "Bacterial small subunit ribosomal RNA", at positions 28 to 507 of the family's 1533-position model. The record is from RNAcentral.